This 926-nucleotide long non-coding RNA is filed under the name Sus scrofa (pig). RNAcentral describes it as "lncRNA (ENSSSCG00060069551.1)". Lineage: Eukaryota; Metazoa; Chordata; Mammalia; Artiodactyla; Suidae. The record is from RNAcentral.
GCCUUCCAACUGAGAAUGGAGAAACAUUCCCGAUUUCACAGGGCACGUGGAAUCAGAGGGUAUGCCUCAUGACUCAUCCCUCCUCUAGAAGGGAGCUAAGAGGCAACUGAACAUCCACCCAGGACUGCAACUCAAGAUUGUGGAAGCAAGAGUUCUAAAUACCUCUUCAGUAGGUUAUGCCUUUCCCAGAAGGACUGAUCUCAAAGCACAAUUUCCAAGAAUGCUAUUACCAGAAAAAUGGGGACUUUUAACCAACUAUAUACUGUAGAAGAGUGGAACAUGAGGGUCUCAAGAAUUCGAGUGUUUAUGAAGUACCACGAAUGGGCUCAGCUACUAACAUACUUGAUGCUGCUCAGAAUGCCAGUCCUUUGAAAAUCUGUGAAGUAGAAAGUUUGCCCUUGGUGCCCCUAAAUCUCUUGACUUCAACCUCCAUUCCUGGAAUGUUACCUUUCCUAUGCCUGAGGAAAGUCAUCCAGUUUUACCGGGCAAGGUCUUGGGUGUACUCUUUGGAGAAGACUCGAGAGCUUUGUAUGAAAGCAGGAAGCCCGUCUCAUCACCAGGGAUGCAGCAGCUCACUGCGGUUUGGAGUCACCAGACUCAGCUUUGCCUCACUCAGAGGAUUCUUUAGGUUUCUUUACUUAAAAAGGAUAAGAGAGCACCUUGGAGAAAUAACUGAUUCUGGGACCGGGGCAGGAAGUUUAUAAGAAGAACCUGGAACAUCUUUUAGUGCCAGAACGUAAGUACUUACUCAAGCAAUGAAAAGUCCUACAAUGGUGGAAGUAUAUCAAAGAGACAAAGGAACCAACUUAAAAGAGCUCCCAAUGGCCAAAGCUGGAAUAAUCUGAACAAAAAAUAAGUAAAAUAGCAUUGUAUUUUAACUCUAAGUAUAAAAUAAAUAUCCAUGAGUUCAUAUUAAUGUAAGUAAA